CACGAAGUUAGCCGGGGCUUAUUCUUCCGGUACCGUCAUUAUCGUCCCGGACAAAAGAGCUUUAUAACCCUAAGGCCUUCAUCACUCACGCGGCAUGGCUGGAUCAGGCUUGCGCCCAUUGUCCAAUAUUCCCCACUGCUGCCUCCCGUAGGAGUCUGGGCCGUGUCUCAGUCCCAGUGUGGCUGAUCAUCCUCUCAGACCAGCUACUGAUCGUCGCCUUGGUAGGCCGUUACCCCACCAACUAGCUAAUCAGACGCGGGCCGAUCCUUCGACAGUAAACCUUUCCCCCAAAGGGCGUAUCCGGUAUUAGCUCCAGUUUCCCCGAAGUUAUCCCAGAUCGAAGGGUACGUUCCCACGUGUUACUCACCCGUCUGCCACUCACCCCGAGGAUGCGUUCGACUUGCAUGUGUUAAGCCUGCCGCCAGCGUUCGCUCUGAGCCAGGAUCAAACUCU
RNAcentral lists this ribosomal RNA (453 nucleotides) under uncultured Hyphomicrobiales bacterium. Its description in RNAcentral is "uncultured Rhizobiales bacterium partial 16S ribosomal RNA". The record is from RNAcentral. Lineage: Bacteria; Pseudomonadati; Pseudomonadota; Alphaproteobacteria; Hyphomicrobiales.